This 63-nucleotide transfer RNA is filed under the name Cryptophyllium tibetense. RNAcentral describes it as "Phyllium tibetense tRNA-Ser". Lineage: Eukaryota; Metazoa; Arthropoda; Insecta; Phasmatodea; Phylliidae. The record is from RNAcentral.
GAAAUAUUAAUAUUAAUAAUAGCUGCUAACUAAUUAUUUAACGAAUAAUAACGUUAUAUUUCU